GCGAGUGAAGCGGCAACAGCUCAAAUUUGAAAGCUGGCUCCGGCCCGCAUUGUAAUUUGCAGAGGAUGCUUCUGGCAAGGUGCCUUCCGAGUUCCCUGGAACGGGACGCCAUAGAGGGUGAGAGCCCCGUAUGGAUGGACACCAAGCCUGUGUGAAGCUCCUUCAACGAGUCGAGUAGUUUGGGAAUGCUGCUCAAAAUGGGAGGUAAAUCUCUUCUAAAGCUAAAUAUUGGCCAGAGACCGAUAGCGCACAAGUAGAGUGAUCGAAAGAUGAAAAGCACCUUGAAAAGGGGGUUAAACAGUACGUGAAAUUGUUGAAAGGGAAGCGCUUGUGACCAGACUUGCGCCGGGCAGCUCAUCAGGGGUUCUCCCCUGUGCACUCUGUCCGGCUCAGGCCAGCAUCGGUUCUCGUGGGAGGAUAAGAACGGUGGGAACGUGGCCCCCCUCCGGGGGGGUGUUAUAGCCCAUCGUACGAUACUCUCGUGGGGACCGAGGUUCGCGCUCCGCAAGGAUGCUGGC
This 518-nucleotide ribosomal RNA is filed under the name Cytospora berberidis. Its description in RNAcentral is "eukaryotic LSU rRNA". It matches the Rfam family "Eukaryotic large subunit ribosomal RNA", at positions 89 to 630 of the family's 3401-position model. The record is from RNAcentral. Lineage: Eukaryota; Fungi; Ascomycota; Sordariomycetes; Diaporthales; Cytosporaceae.